RNAcentral lists this transfer RNA (82 nucleotides) under Mesorhizobium sp. 113-3-3. RNAcentral describes it as "tRNA-Ala". Lineage: Bacteria; Pseudomonadati; Pseudomonadota; Alphaproteobacteria; Hyphomicrobiales; Phyllobacteriaceae. The record is from RNAcentral.
AGGCCGGUGGCGCGGUUGAGGCCAUUGGCGAUGGCCGAGGCAUAGAGUUUCCUGGCGAAGCCGUUCAACUCGGCCUGGCCGC